GUUUUCCCAGGCUCUCUAACUCUUCACCAGAAUCCUCGUCAAGGACUCUACCAGAAAUUUCAAGAAUAUAAGACCCGUCUCUGUCAGCUGGAAGGCCCCUACUCGCAAGCAACUUCAGAUCCUUUGGGUUAAGCUCUCUCCCGUUAACAAAUACUCCAGUACCUCCACCAGCACAGUUUACAGGCAUGGGAUAGUUAAAUUCUUCAAUAAAUGGAGGGAUAAUGCCCAGACAAUGACCACCGAUAACUCCCCAAAAUCCAGCUCGAAAAUCA
RNAcentral lists this unclassified non-coding RNA (272 nucleotides) under Hevea brasiliensis (rubber tree). The record is from RNAcentral. Lineage: Eukaryota; Viridiplantae; Streptophyta; Magnoliopsida; Malpighiales; Euphorbiaceae.